RNAcentral lists this long non-coding RNA (3032 nucleotides) under Ananas comosus (pineapple). RNAcentral's name for it is "long non-coding RNA (ACOM_LNC024340)". Lineage: Eukaryota; Viridiplantae; Streptophyta; Magnoliopsida; Poales; Bromeliaceae. The record is from RNAcentral.
UGUAAGGUACCGAACUUCUAAAAUCAUGAAGUUACGUUGUCCAUUUGGUUGGAGAGCCAUUUGAAUGGUUCCGGUAAAGUUGCGGUGUAAUGUAAUAUACCGGAUUUAAAUAUAAAAAUAAAAAUAAAUAAAAAUAGUAUGAGAUACUAUUUUUAUUGGAUUUGGAGAAGUAAAAUAUGAGUUAGAAAUGACUUGUGCUGAAAUUGGAAUGAAAACAGAAGAUUUAGAAUUUUCUGUGAGAGACGGGGCAGAUAAAUUAGCAGAAAAUGCACAGUCUCAGAAAAUUAUGAAAAUUGGAGGACAAGUCAGAAAUAUUUUUAUGAGGCUAGAUUUAAGGUUUCAUAUUUUUCUGACACCCGUAGAGUGAGAAAUAAAAUCCGACAGUUAUCUGAUAAAGAUUACAGUUCGGUACAGUUUUCAGUGACCAAACGGGGUCGAAACUGAAAAGUUAAGAUAUAUUCUUACUCAGUACGUUAAACUGAGUCUACCUGUCAAAUUUGAGCUCAAUCGGACAUUCAGAAGGGUUCCGAUGGAACUUAUCAGAUUUGAGGGACUAAACUGAAAAGUGGAAUAGUUGAGGGGGCUGCUUGUGGAAAAGAGCAUUGCUCUUCUUCUCCUCCCUCAACCUGCGUACACAACCAGCCCCAAACCGACACACCCACACACGCAUGGAUAGGAGAAGAGAACCCUCUCUUUCUCUCUCUAAAUCUCUCCCAAAAUUAAGGGAAUUAGUGGAGAUUGAAGCUUGGAGGUGAAUCGUCAUCAUCUUCUUCAUCUUCUCCAUGGAUUGAAGCUAGUUUUGAGGUAAGCUUUUGCUACCCUUUAAUGGUAGAUCUCUAGAUAUGGGGUUUUGAUCUCUAGAAAUGGAUUUAGAGCUAUUCUAGCAUGCUAAAUAGACACUUGAAUACCGUAUAGCCACAUGGAAUUGUGGACAAUACUCUUUUGAGAAUUGGAAGUCGAGAUAUGCCGGGGUAGGCCAUCUCGUGGUAGAGCAAGGUCCGAAUAUGGUUAGAACACUCGCGAUUGGGUGAUGCACCAAUGAUAUUGCUUUUGAGCAAUGUUGGUAGUCGAAUCGCAAUGCCCCGAGGGGGGAAAAGCAAAUGCAAAGAAGAGUUCUUGCAUGCCGAAUGGUGAGUGAUGUUGGAACGCGUAGAGUCGUUGAGCUUCGACUUGCGUAACCACCAAGAAUGACGGAGACCCGUAAUGCACUUUCGGAGUUACGCUUAGCGAAUGUGAGUGAAUCUGGUCUCACAUCCUCCUUAAUGGACCUCUAAGUUGUUCCAAUAAGUGAAAGACCGCUCCGAGAUGCGAAAGUGCAUUGGAACCCUCGAUUACUCGAUGAGUUAAAUUGAGGUGUGAGUUGGAGAUGGAGUUGAUUGAGUUUCGAGGACGAAACUCUUAUUAAGGAGGGGAGAAUGUAAGGUACCGAACUUCUAAAAUUAUGAAGUUACGUUGUCCAUUUGGUUGGAGAGCCAUUUGAAUGGUUCCGGUAAGGUUGCGGUGUAAUGUAAUAUACCGGAUUUAAAUAUAAAAAUAAAAAUAAAUAAAAAUAGUAUGAGAUACUAUUUUUAUUGGAUUUGGAGAAGUGAAAUAUGAGUUAGAAAUGACUUGUGCUGAAAUCGGAAUGAAAACAGAAGAUUUAGAAUUUUCUGUGAGAGACGGGGCAGAUAAAUUAGCAGAAAAUGCACAGUCUCAGAAAAUUAUGAAAAUUGGAGGACAAGUCAGAAAUAUUUUUAUGAGGCUAGAUUUAAGGUUUCAUAUUUUUCUGACACCCGUAGAGUGAGAAAUAAAAUCCGACAGUUAUCUGAUAAAGAUUACAGUUCGGUACAGUUUUCAGUGACCAAACGGGGUCGAAACUGAAAAGUUAAGAUAUAUUCUUACUCAGUACGUUAAACUGAGUCUGCCUGUCAAAUUUGAGCUCAAUCGGACAUUCAGAAGGGUUCCGAUGGAACUUAUCAGAUUUGAGGGACUAAACUGAAAAGUGGAAUAGUUGAGGGGGCUGCUUGUGGAAAAGAGCAUUGCUCUUCUUCUCCUCCCUCAACCUGCGUACACAACCAGCCCCAAACCGACACACCCACACACGCAUGGAUAGGAGAAGAGAACCCUCUCUUUCUCUCUCUAAAUCUCUCCCAAAAUUAAAGGAAUUAGUGGAGAUUGAAGCUUGGAGGUGAAUCGUCAUCAUCUUCUUCAUCUUCUCCAUGGAUUGAAGCUAGUUUUGAGGUAAGGUUUUGCUACCCUUUAAUGGUAGAUCUCUAGAUAUGGGGUUUUGAUCUCUAGAAAUGGAUUUAGAGCUAUUCUAGAAUGCUAAAUAGACGAUUGAUGCUUGAAUCAUAGAUCGAUUUAAUGAUUUAUUGCCUAGUUGUAACAUAGGGCUCUAAAAUGCAAGUUUUGCUACUAGUAGGGUUUGAUCUCAUUUAACCCUCUGUAAACCUAAUUGAUAGGUCACUGAACGCGUUGGAAGCGACGGUUCGGCGUUGGAAGCGACGGUUCGGCGAUUCGUCGAGCCGGUGCAAAGUUAUUAAAGAAACGGACGUUUAGGCUUCGUUUCCGCCUGGAGGGCCGAGGCGACGUCGUAAAAUCGUGGAAACGGAUUUGAAGCACCGUAGCGAGAAACCGAAGACCUAUAAUUUCCAGAUCGCGGAUCGGAGGUCGUUUGGUGGUCGCGCACCGAUUGGGUCGAGCCGAGCGGCGUGCGCCGCGGGAGGCCGAUUGCAAGUGACGACGAGCAAUCGGAACGCGGUAAAAGGUGGGGGAGUGCCAUCCCGAAGCAAUCGGGUUUCUCCUUAUGUCUAAGUAUUUCUAUGUUGAUCAAUUAUGCAUAUUGAGCAUGAUGCAUUAUAGGGUGAUAGUUGAUGGUUGGUUCUAUAUAUAUAUAUAUUGCAUGCUUCUUGAAAGAGUAAUGUAUUUGGCUUAGUGCUUAUAUCUAGCAUGCUUGAGGUUUAUAUAUGCGAUGUGAAACCCUAUAAGAAAUGAUAGGUGUAGAUGAGAACUUAGUAAUAUAUUGGCUAUUGCAUUGGAAACUUUAAACAUGU